UCGGAUUUGGUUGAGAUUUAAUCUCAACCUUUGAAUACAAAUCAAAGUCAACCCUCAGAGAACUCAGUCACUCUCUCUCCAUCUCUCGAGCCUCGACUCGACCUCACCUCACCUUAGAGCUCAGAAGACUUAUCCGUCACCACCAGGGCCGGUCCUGAGUUUUUGGGUGCCCAAUGCAAAAGCUCAAAAUGUGCCCUUUUUUAACACUGAAACAUAUGUUUAAAAAAAUAUAUUUAACGAGGGCUGGAACUCAGUCGAAGCUGGAGGGUUAGGCCCUCACGCCCAAAUUAUAUUACUAGAGAAAAUAUACAACGGGGGACAUAAUACCUAAGGAUAAGUGAGAUUAUUUUCUUGAAUUGGUCCAUGUUCUACAAGUAAGUCUCUCAUUUCUACCUUAAGACCAUCCCAAACUCUUGGAUCAUAAAUGUUUAAAUGAAAAACAGGUUCAGGAGAUUCAAUAUUUUCCUCUACACCAAUAUGAUCAUCAUCAACAUUCAAAUCCACAUCACCACCAUUUUCAUGAUCUUAAGACUCAUCACCAACAUUUCUUCUAAAUCACUACCAUUUUCAUGAUCAUGAGACUCCCCAACAACAUUUUGUGACUCUUCACCAACAUCAUUUUCUCUCAAAUUUUUAACUGACUCGUUCUUUGUAGAGAAAAAUUUAUUAAGAGAUCAUCUUAAACUUUCGGCAAUUUCGUUAUCCUUUGCCUUUUUUUUCCUUUUCAUAUUACUAGAGAGUUGUUUCCUAAAAGACAUGGCUUCGAUAAUUUAUUUGCAAAAAUUACCUACACAUGAUAUAACAAAAAUUUCCUAUCAAAAUUAUCAUUCCAACACAUAUUAUAUAUUAUAAAAACAUUAACACAUAGUCUAACAUAUUAUAAAAAUUGAACCUAAAAAUUGGUUUUCAAAUGAAAUCAAAUAAUUCAAUUAGUCAAGAAUUCAAUUCAUCAACAACAACAAUUCUAUACAUCAUGUCAUAUAAUUCUAUGUCACUUGCAAAAUUUUAUAUUAAAUUAUGAAUUGAUAAUUCAAAUUUUAAAAAUUAAUUUACCUCAAAACUCAAAAGGGUUGGUGGUGAGUGAAUGAUAUUGCACUUGCAGCAGCCAAUGCCCAAUGGUGAAUGGGCUUGGUGUUGAGCUGAGGAGGAGGGACAGGGACCUCCUAUGUUGUCUGGCUGCGUGCAGCAGCUUGCAGUUGAAAAGGGAGUUUGGAAACAAUAAAUCACUUUCAAUGGAAUUGAGAGAAGGAAAAGGGAGUCAGGGUCAAGGAUGGCAGGGAGGGAAGUGGGGGAAGUGGCGAACAAAGGGGGGGGGGUGGGGAAUCAGGAAAGGAGUGUAAGCAUAUGGGAGUUAGGGUUAUUGGAGACCGAGUGGUCCUUGUAAUGUCGUUUUGUAUUUUUUUUUGUAACGCCCACAACCUUGGCCCUUUUUUCAUCUUUCUUGGGCUCUUGGCCUUCAGCCCUUAUUUGGGCUAUGGACUUUUUUUUUUGUGCCCCCCAUCUGUUUUGGGCCUUGGACAGCUGCCCCUGUGACAUUGGGCUUGGUCACCACCCUUCUCGCCGAUUUCUCCCUCCGUCUUCGAAUCCGGCCACACCCACACCACACAAAUGACUCACCUCUCUGAUCUCUCUCAAAUCAGAUAAAUUUUGGAAUUAAUUUAGGGUUCGAAUUCUAGAUUAGGGUUUGUGAAAUUUAGCACAUGGAGGUGGAACUGAUAUGAAAUUUAGUCCCUUUUGGCUAAAUUUCAACACUUUCUCAAAUUUCAAGAACUGGGGUUUGGGAUUUCAGCUAAAUUUUGAUUUUCCAAAGCAGAUUCUGUGCGCUUACUUCGUGGUGCUUCCGCUGCGCGAUGAGGGUGCAAUUUCCUUAGGUCUGUCGAGCCUGCCGAGCCUGUUUGUGGGGUCAUGGACCUUCACCUCCAUUGCCUCACCAGUUGCAACUCUCAUUUUCUCUCUGCCCAACGUUUCGAAAGGCAAGGUAUGUGUGGGUAUUUUCACCAUUUCUUCGAUAUGGGGAGCUUUGAAAGUCUUGUUUUUUGUGGUAAAGAUUGAUUAUUUUCAUGUGGGGUGUCUCUGUAACUUGUUAUUUUUGGUUGAAAACAAAAGGGUAUAGCUGGUUCUUGCCAGAUUUCGAUAUGCUGUGUUUCUGCCAUUUUUUCGAUAUGGGGAGUUCAAAAUGAUUGUUUUUGUGGUUAAAAUUGAUUCUUUUGAUAUGGGGUGUUUCUGUAUGGCGAGACUGGUUUUUCUCUCUACCCAUACCUAACAAGAAACAAGUAGUUGUCUUAUCGUUACUUCCCUUGCAACGUUUCUCUGGGGGGUUCUUGUUAAGUUUCUGCAGUCGAGGUGGUAAUUUUUAGCUGGAUGGUGUCAUAGUUAUUAGGUUAUAUAUUUAGGGGCAUAUGAUAUAUAACCCCAUUUGCUUUAAUACAUGGAUAUCCGUUAUGCAGUUUUUGGUGGAAGUAUUAGCAUCAAUAUUGGUAAAGAAUUAUGCAGUAUGUUAGGAUUGUGCCUAUAUCUCGGACACAGGAUUAGUUUUAAGAUGUAACAUUUCAGGUACUGCCGUGUAAUCUCUUUUCAUGAAGGCCACUGCUUGAAACGUGUGGGAAACAUUCCCUUGGAUGAAUACAAUGUUUCAGUAAUAUGAUGCAUGUGUCGUCCUAAUAUAAGCUUUCCGAGCUCUUGGGAUUUCUAUGAGUCAUGUCAGUGAGAUGUUCAUGCUUAUGAGUAAGUUGUAUCCUAGUAUAAGCUGUAUCCUUGGGAUUUCUAUGUAUGAAGUUAAAGGCUAAAAGCCCAAUAUGUAUGAAGUUAUGCACAGAUUGAUAUUGAUUGCACAUAUUGGGUUGGGUUAUAAAUCUAAAUUUUAAUAUAAAAGGCUAAAUUUUAGCCCAAAAGUCCAAACUAUUUCAGGAUUCUCGAAAAUUUGGUUUGGGAUCGGUCUUAACAUUGGAAUUCCCGAAAACAUCGGUUUGGGAAUCAGGACAAGGGUUUUGGUUCGGUAUCCCAUACCGAACCAGCCCUAACCGUAUCACUCCUUCGGUUUUGAUUGGGUUUAUGUUUGGGCUACUAAUUUGUAAUGUCCAUGAACUACAAAGCCCAGACAGAAUAAGCCCGGGCAUUAAACAGCCUACAGAUAUUAUGUCCACCAUACUCAAAUAAAAAAUCGUCGUGGUAAUUCACAAUCUCUCAAAUGUUAUUGUUUUUCAUACUCCUUUCUCUUUUUAGGUCGUGAAUCAUUUAACCAUUAUUAUACUACAGUUGUAAGUGAGAGUUCUCAGAUUCGACUCUUAUAAUGACGAAUUAAAUACCUAAUUAUGUUGUCAAUUAUAUACGGCUUUGCCCAAAUCUCUCAAAAAGGAGAAAAAGCUAAAGAAUAAUCGCUUAGCUGCACAAUAUGUAAAUUAUAGGAAAUUCUAAAGACACAUUUAUUUUCACUAGGAGUUUGCUUGAACUAAAAGAUUUCAGAUCAACAAAAUUUCUACGUAUAGUCAUUGAAAACUGCACAUACGCAUGCAUGAACGACACGAAUUUGAUACAUGAAAUAAGCAUGCAAAAUUUUGGAUUUGUGUAAAGUGACUUCCAAUUUAUGGUACAUAAAGUGGACUAUAGGGACAUUAUCCUCUCCCUAAACUCAAAAGCAAAGACCACAAAAUGAAUUCCUUUGGAAUAAAGGGCAGUCUCCUUUUUCGCCCAAAGUUAGGCAGCUCUCAACUACAGACAAAGACCCUUCAAUCCUCCCCAAACCUCCAUAUUCCUUUUCACCCUCUAGACAGUUUUUCUUAUGCACCCACACGUUGAUUAGGACACAACCCUCAAAUGUCCAAACGAAUCUAACCCUACAAUUAAGCUCUGCAUUAAUGGCCAUCACUAUCUUACUCAUCAAAUAUGGUUCUCGAUAUUUCAAGAAGAAUGCGAUACGCUUACUCGUCCACGCUUCUAUAGUUGAUUUGUGACCGCUGAUGCACUAGAUUUAAACAUGUGUUCGCUUCGGAUGACAGCACAACUCCAUGUGUAGAAGAUGUAUACACAUUUAGGGACCCAAUGGAUAGUGUUGAGGUGGAGGGGCAUCACGUCAAAGGUCUGGUGAGGACUCUGGGGAUUUUUGGGUCUCUACUCUUUUGAACUCAAAAGGUGUCUGUUUCUACUUUAUCCCAACCCAAAGGACCCAAAGCCUAAGCCGAAAAAAACCCCUUUGAAUACAAUGAAUAGUGUACAAAUUGGCAACCUCUCCAAAUGGAAUCAAAAAGGAGAAAGUGGAGCAAGCUUUACAGCCCAUCGUUCUUUUAGUUUUGUAGGAGAUUGAUUAGUUAUCGAGUAAUGCUAGGGAGACUAAAUAUGUAAACGAAAUUUUGUAAAUUAAAUGAUAUAAAAAGUUAAUGAUCGGAUUAUUACUUAAGUGUUGAUUAAUGUGUUUAUUUUUUAUUAGUGACACAUCAUUUAUUUUUCAAAUUUAGUCUACCUAGCACCACUCUUACUUAGCAGAUCAAUAUGGCAUUUUUUUAUUGCCAUGUACCACUAAAUACACCUAGGGGCUUAAGGUCUACGCCCAACCUACUAAAAAAAACUUGUCUAGGUUGAGUGAUAAGUAAAAUUAAGAAUAAUUAUUGUAGCAAGUGUAAUAUUUUGAUAACAAUUAUGAUAAUUAUUAUUAUAAUUUGAUGUCACAUGAACUUAAGAUUUGCUUAACUUUGAACGUAACACAAAUCUAACAAGUUAUUAAACGACUGGUCAAUGCAAGUUAUAUAUACCUCUAUGUGGCAAGAAGUCCCAGCUCAAAACUCAUCCCAAAUUACAUGAUCAUCUUCAACUCCUACGAUUACUCCCUACAUGGAAUCUUAGUCUCCUUUACUUUUUACUUCUUUGUCUUUCUGUUUUGGCCAGAUUUCAAGCCCUACUUCCCUUAAUAUGUUUACUUAAUUGACAACAUUUGUUUAAAAUUAGAUGUUUAUGACU
This 4950-nucleotide long non-coding RNA is filed under the name Malus domestica (apple). RNAcentral's name for it is "long non-coding RNA (MDOM_LNC017574)". Lineage: Eukaryota; Viridiplantae; Streptophyta; Magnoliopsida; Rosales; Rosaceae. The record is from RNAcentral.